This 557-nucleotide ribosomal RNA is filed under the name uncultured Rhizobium sp. RNAcentral's name for it is "bacterial SSU rRNA". It matches the Rfam family "Bacterial small subunit ribosomal RNA", at positions 102 to 694 of the family's 1533-position model. Lineage: Bacteria; Pseudomonadati; Pseudomonadota; Alphaproteobacteria; Hyphomicrobiales; Rhizobiaceae. The record is from RNAcentral.
ACGGGUGAGUAACGCGUGGGAAUCUACCCAUCUCUGCGGAAUAGCUCUGGGAAACUGGAAUUAAUACCGCAUACGCCCUACGGGGGAAAGAUUUAUCGGGGAUGGAUGAGCCCGCGUUGGAUUAGCUAGUUGGUGGGGUAAAGGCCUACCAAGGCGACGAUCCAUAGCUGGUCUGAGAGGAUGAUCAGCCACAUUGGGACUGAGACACGGCCCAAACUCCUACGGGAGGCAGCAGUGGGGAAUAUUGGACAAUGGGCGCAAGCCUGAUCCAGCCAUGCCGCGUGAGUGAUGAAGGCCUUAGGGUUGUAAAGCUCUUUCACCGAUGAAGAUAAUGACGGUAGUCGGGGAAGAAGCCCCGGCUAACUUCGUGCCAGCAGCCGCGGUAAUACGAAGGGGGCCAGCGUUGUUCGGAAUUACUGGGCGUAAAGCGCACGUAGGCGGAUAUUUAAGUCAGGGGUGAAAUCCCGCAGCUCAACUGCGGAACUGCCUUUGAUACUGGGUAUCUUGAGUAUGGAAGAGGUAAGUGGAAUUCCGAGUGUAGAGGUGAAAUUCGUAGA